RNAcentral lists this transfer RNA (73 nucleotides) under Candidatus Annandia adelgestsuga. It matches the Rfam family "tRNA". From Rfam's summary of the family: Transfer RNA (tRNA) molecules are approximately 80 nucleotides in length. The record is from Rfam by way of RNAcentral. Lineage: Bacteria; Pseudomonadati; Pseudomonadota; Gammaproteobacteria; Enterobacterales; Enterobacteriaceae.
GGGUAAUUAGCUCAAUUGGUAGAGCGUCUCCUUUACACGGAGAGGGUUGAUGGUUCGAGUCCGUCAUUACCCA